RNAcentral lists this ribosomal RNA (471 nucleotides) under Amphistegina lobifera. Its description in RNAcentral is "SSU rRNA". It matches the Rfam family "Eukaryotic small subunit ribosomal RNA", at positions 1165 to 1611 of the family's 1831-position model. Lineage: Eukaryota; Foraminifera; Rotaliida; Amphisteginidae. The record is from RNAcentral.
GGGCACCCACAAGAACGCGUGGAGCAUGUGGCUUAAUUUGACUCAACGCGGGGAAUCUUACUAGGUCCGGACCGAGUCUAUGAACGUCGUACCGUUGGGUGCUACGUGAUUACUGGAUGAGUGGUGCAUGGCCGUUCUUAGUUCGUGGUGUUAAUUGUCUACUUAAUUGUUUCGGCCAUGUAUCUCUCAGUACAGUCCUUACAACGAACGAGAUCGAGACCCGUGGUUGCGUUGUGUUUGAAUUCGGUAUUACUACGGGGAUCGCGUAAUUACUCAACGGUACGAUCGAAAGACUCGGCAAUAACAGGUCUGUGAUGCCCUCAGAUGUUCUAGGCUGCACACGUGCUACAUUGUGAGUUGUAGUAUAUUGUGUAUGCGUAGAUAUGUCUAAGAUCCCCCGCAUCGAGUCUCAAUUACUCACGUGGUUGGACUCACCGAUUGUUGUAAUUAUUCGGUAUACUAACUAGGAAU